UACGGAGGGGGCUAGCGUUGUUCGGAAUUACUGGGCGUAAAGCGCACGUAGGCGGCUUUGUAAGUUAGAGGUGAAAGCCCGGGGCUCAACUCCGGAAUUGCCUUUAAGACUGCAUCGCUGAGAAUUGUGGAGAGGUAAGUGGAAUUCCGAGUGUAGAGGUGAAAUUCGUAGAUAUUCGGAAGAACACCAGUGGCGAAGGCGACUUACUGGACACAUAUUGACGCUGAGGUGCGAAAGCGUGGGGAGCAAACAGG
RNAcentral lists this ribosomal RNA (254 nucleotides) under uncultured bacterium. RNAcentral describes it as "partial 16S ribosomal RNA". It matches the Rfam family "Bacterial small subunit ribosomal RNA", at positions 524 to 776 of the family's 1533-position model. The record is from RNAcentral.